CAGGCUUAACACAUGCAAGUCGAGGGGCAUCAGGAAGAAAGCUUGCUUUCUUUGCUGGCGACCGGCGCACGGGUGAGUAACACGUAUCCAACCUGCCCUUUACUCGGGGAUAGCCUUUCGAAAGAAAGAUUAAUACCCGAUGGCAUAAUGAUUCCGCAUGGUUUCAUUAUUAAAGGAUUCCGGUAAAGGAUGGGGAUGCGUUCCAUUAGGUUGUUGGUGAGGUAACGGCCCACCAAGCCUUCGAUGGAUAGGGGUUCUGAGAGGAAGGUCCCCCACAUUGGAACUGAGACACGGUCCAAACUCCUACGGGAGGCAGCAGUGAGGAAUAUUGGUCAAUGGGCGGUAGCCUGAACCAGCCAAGUAGCGUGAAGGAUGAAGGCUCUAUGGGUCGUAAACUUCUUUUAUAUAAGAAUAAAGUGCAGUAUGUAUACUGUUUUGUAUGUAUUAUAUGAAUAAGGAUCGGCUAACUCCGUGCCAGCAGCCGCGGUAAUACGGAGGAUCCGAGCGUUAUCCGGAUUUAUUGGGUUUAAAGGGAGCGUAGGUGGACUGGUAAGUCAGUUGUGAAAGUUUGCGGCUCAACCGUAAAAUUGCAGUUGAUACUGUCAGUCUUGAGUACAGUAGAGGUGGGCGGAAUUCGUGGUGUAGCGGUGAAAUGCUUAGAUAUCACGAAGAACUCCGAUUGCGAAGGCAGCUCACUGGACUGCAACUGACACUGAUGCUCGAAAGUGUGGGUAUCAAACAGGAUUAGAUACCCUGGUAGUCCACACAGUAAACGAUGAAUACUCGCUGUUUGCGAUAUACAGUAAGCGGCCAAGCGAAAGCAUUAAGUAUUCCACCUGGGGAGUACGCCGGCAACGGUGAAACUCAAAGGAAUUGACGGGGGCCCGCACAAGCGGAGGAACAUGUGGUUUAAUUCGAUGAUACGCGAGGAACCUUACCCGGGCUUAAAUUGCAGUGGAAUGAUGUGGAAACAUGUCAGUGAGCAAUCACCGCUGUGAAGGUGCUGCAUGGUUGUCGUCAGCUCGUGCCGUGAGGUGUCGGCUUAAGUGCCAUAACGAGCGCAACCCUUAUCUUCAGUUACUAACAGGUCAUGCUGAGGACUCUGGAGAGACUGCCGUCGUAAGAUGUGAGGAAGGUGGGGAUGACGUCAAAUCAGCACGGCCCUUACGUCCGGGGCUACACACGUGUUACAAUGGGGGGUACAGAAGGCAGCUAGCGGGUGACCGUAUGCUAAUCCCAAAAGCCUCUCUCAGUUCGGAUCGAAGUCUGCAACCCGACUUCGUGAAGCUGGAUUCGCUAGUAAUCGCGCAUCAGCCACGGCGCGGUGAAUACGUUCCCGGGCCUUGUACACACCGCCCGUCAAGCCAUGGGAGCCGGGGGUACCUGAAGUACGUAACCGCAAGGAUCGUCCUAGGGUAAAACUGGUGACUGGGGCUAAG
Molecule: ribosomal RNA, 1439 nt
Filed under: uncultured organism
Description: 16S ribosomal RNA
Rfam family: Bacterial small subunit ribosomal RNA
Source: RNAcentral